RNAcentral lists this long non-coding RNA (935 nucleotides) under Triticum aestivum (bread wheat). RNAcentral describes it as "long non-coding RNA (TAES_LNC024683)". Lineage: Eukaryota; Viridiplantae; Streptophyta; Magnoliopsida; Poales; Poaceae. The record is from RNAcentral.
AAGAAGUUAAGGUAAUCAAUAAAGGCAAGAAAUUAUACAUACUCUUCUGAAUAAAGAGCUACUGUUCCCUGCUGUUACAUUAUUGAAUAAUUUCAUAAUGCUUUGGUUUUCAUUGUUAUGGAGAUGAUGACGACUUUACCCAUUUUUCUCGAACAUCUGAAAUGGGUAGACUUAACUCCUUGUUAUUUUCUUAUUAUAAAAUUUUGUGGUUAUGCAUCAUUGAGCAGUUGCACUUAAGAAUAUUUACAUUGGUACUGUGAUUUGAGCCAGACUUGCAAGAAUCCUCUAAUAUCUCAUCUAUUCAGACUGUUAGCUGUUCUAACUAAUCCAGAAGCAUGUGGUUAGGUUGCCAUUUGAAUGGAUUUUUUCAAUUGCAUGGUUUGUAUAAAUCUGAGAUAUUACUCUAGAACAAUUACUCCAUUAUUUUCUGUAUAGCUGAUAAAUUAGGUAACUUUGCUGUGACAAAAACAAGUUGGGUAUAUAUGCCACUGUUAUUGCGAGAAACCGAGAUAUCAGAUUGAUUAUGCUUAUUAUAUCUUAUAGAUAUUGUUCCUGUUUCUUGAUACCUUUUUGUAGCAAAGUGUUGACACUUGCACUUUUUUUAUGCGAGACACUUGCACUUUUUUACAAGUUCAUUUAUGUCCACUGUAGGGUAACCUUGAAGAGAAGCUUGCAACUUAAGCUGUAACAAAACAUUAUGAAAAGAGGUCUCACGCUGUGAAUGUUUAGUUGAUGCACUAGUGUUUUUAGAUGUUGCGCCUCUGUUUUCAUUGUCCUUUGAUUCAUGUAUGCAACUUCGAUGGAAUUGUAUCCGAAUUAUGUGAAUUUGUAACUCCAUGGUUGAUGGAAGCUAUUGAUAGUGGUGUUUCUCUAUUCUAAACAUUCAGAGUAAUGAAAUAGCUAUGUCUAAGACCAUCAAUGUUAAGAUUUUUUUU